Molecule: ribosomal RNA, 1446 nt
Filed under: uncultured marine bacterium
Lineage: Bacteria
Description: bacterial SSU rRNA
Rfam family: Bacterial small subunit ribosomal RNA
Source: RNAcentral
AGAGUUUGAUCCUGGCUCAGGAUGAACGCUGGCGGCGUGCUUAACACAUGCAAGUCGAACGAACCUUCGGGUUAGUGGCGGACGGGUGAGUAACGCGUGGGAACCUGCCCUCAGGAGGGGGAUAACGGCUGGAAACGGCCGCUAAUACCCCAUAUGCCGAGAGGUGAAACGAAAUUCGCCUGAGGAUGGGCCCGCGUCUGAUUAGCUAGUUGGUGGGGUAAGAGCCUACCAAGGCGACGAUCAGUAGCUGGUCUGAGAGGAUGAUCAGCCACACUGGGACUGAGACACGGCCCAGACUCCUACGGGAGGCAGCAGUGGGGAAUUUUCCGCAAUGGGCGAAAGCCUGACGGAGCAACGCCGCGUGAGGGAUGAAGGCCUCUGGGCUGUAAACCUCUUUUCUCAAGGAAGAAGAACUGACGGUACUUGAGGAAUAAGCCACGGCUAAUUCCGUGCCAGCAGCCGCGGUAAUACGGGAGUGGCAAGCGUUAUCCGGAAUUAUUGGGCGUAAAGCGUCCGCAGGCGGCCUUGUAAGUCUGUCGUUAAAGCGUGGAGCUUAACUCCAUUUCAGCGAUGGAAACUACAAGGCUUGAGUGUGGUAGGGGCAGAGGGAAUUCCCGGUGUAGCGGUGAAAUGCGUAGAUAUCGGGAAGAACACCAGUGGCGAAGGCGCUCUGCUGGGCCAUCACUGACGCUCAUGGACGAAAGCCAGGGGAGCGAAAGGGAUUAGAUACCCCUGUAGUCCUGGCCGUAAACGAUGAACACUAGGUGUCGGGGGAAUCGACCCCCUCGGUGUCGUAGCCAACGCGUUAAGUGUUCCGCCUGGGGAGUACGCACGCAAGUGUGAAACUCAAAGGAAUUGACGGGGGCCCGCACAAGCGGUGGAGUAUGUGGUUUAAUUCGAUGCAACGCGAAGAACCUUACCAGGGCUUGACAUCCCGCGAACCUCUGAGAAAUCGGAGGGUGCCUUCGGGAACGCGGAGACAGGUGGUGCAUGGCUGUCGUCAGCUCGUGUCGUGAGAUGUUGGGUUAAGUCCCGCAACGAGCGCAACCCACGUUUUUAGUUGCCAGCAUUCAGUUGGGCACUCUAGAAAGACCGCCGGUGAUAAACCGGAGGAAGGUGUGGAUGACGUCAAGUCAUCAUGCCCCUUACGUCCUGGGCUACACACGUACUACAAUGCUACGGACAAAGGGCAGCAAACUCGCGAGAGCUAGCAAAUCCCAUAAACCGUGGCUCAGUUCAGAUCGUAGGCUGCAACUCGCCUACGUGAAGGAGGAAUCGCUAGUAAUCGCAGGUCAGCAUACUGCGGUGAAUACGUUCCCGGGCCUUGUACACACCGCCCGUCACACCAUGGAAGUUGGCCACGCCCGAAGUCGUUACUCCAACCCUUGUGGAGGAGGAUGCCGAAGGUGGGGCUGAUGACUGGGGUGAAGUCGUAACAAGGUAACC